AUCUAGCUGAUGAGUCCCAAAUAGGACAAGAUUCGCGUCCUGGAU
Schistosoma haematobium is the source of this 45-nucleotide non-coding RNA. Lineage: Eukaryota; Metazoa; Platyhelminthes; Trematoda; Strigeidida; Schistosomatidae. The record is from Rfam.